UACGGGGGGAGCAAGCGUUGUUCGGAUUUACUGGGCGUAAAGGGCGCGUAGGCGGUCGUGACAAGUCACUUGUGAAAUCUCCGGGCUUAACUCGGAACGGUCAAGUGAUACUGCUCGGACUAGAGUACAGAAGGGGCAACUGGAAUUCUCGGUGUAGCGGUGAAAUGCGUAGAUAUCGAGAGGAACACCUGCGGCGAAGGCGGGUUGCUGGGCUGAUACUGACGCUGAGGCGCGAAAGCCAGGGGAGCGAACGGG
RNAcentral lists this ribosomal RNA (255 nucleotides) under uncultured bacterium. RNAcentral's name for it is "partial 16S ribosomal RNA". It matches the Rfam family "Bacterial small subunit ribosomal RNA", at positions 524 to 776 of the family's 1533-position model. The record is from RNAcentral.